This is a long non-coding RNA of Felis catus (domestic cat), 1176 nucleotides long. RefSeq lists it as uncharacterized. The transcript has 3 exons. Lineage: Eukaryota; Metazoa; Chordata; Mammalia; Carnivora; Felidae. The record is from RefSeq and is a predicted model, not a curated record.
UUGGUCAGCAAGCGAGAGGCUCCGCCCCCGGCUUCCGACGGGCAACGCUCCUUCGGGCUUUUGGCUCCCACGCCCGCCCACCUGCAAGCCCCGCCCUCACUUCCGAGGCCCGCGCUGCCGCGGUCACACCCCGAGCGGUUGCGCGUUUAUUCGUCUCGCUCCGGCGAGUGAGGGGGGGGCCCUAAAGGGCCGCCUGCUUCCCCAUCCUCCUCCCCAGGCGGAGAGGCUGGCCCUUGGGGAGCCCAAGUGGUUUUCCCAAAGCCGCUGCUCACUUACUAGAUACCGUGCUAGGGACUGUCCUCCCAAUUCCAAUGUCAAUACUAACGACCAAUACCACCCCGCAGCCGCUGGGCACCUGGGGCCGGAUGGCUUACACUGUUGACGGGAUGAGGGGUUUUUAGCCCUGUACUUUAGGUGAAGAAACUAAGGCCAGGGGGGCAAGGAGACUGCCCAAGGCCACACAGCUCCUAAAACUGCGCAGCCGGAACUUUUCUCCCCGACUUUUUAUUAGGAGCGUUUCAGCAGACAAAAACCGGCAAGAACUCUCCAGUGUUCAUCCACCACCGAGGGGUCAACAGGCGUUGCCAUUUUGCCACGUUUGCUUGAUCCGCCUCGAUGGGUGUGUGAGGCUUGUUUUUUCUGGAUCAUUUGAAGGCUGGAAGCAAAACCGAAGAAGGCCUCUCCCGGCCGCCUAGGAGCUGAUAUAAAACUUGACCUAAAGGAGACGCUGGAGAAGGCAGCUCAGGACUGACGUUCGCCUGAGAGCAGUGACACAGUUGUUCAUUGUAUAGAAGACAUUGGGACAUUUUUAUUGCAAAGGAGACAUUUUUAUUCCAUCUCCUACUUACGGAUACGGUCAUGCUGAACAUCAAAAGGAGCACGAUUUUGGGCGUGAGCAGCCGCGUGACCCUGGGCACGUUAUUUACACCCUCUCCAGGCCUCAGCUUGCCCACCCAGGAAGAUGGCAUUUAAGUGUCCUUUGAGCUCUGACAACUGAUAUCUACUCCCCUUGAUGAGUCCAGAGCCAGAAGAUGCAGGAAUUAGGAAUGCCCAUUUGACGGAUGAGGAAACCGAGGCACAGUGAGAUUGAAUAAUCCAUUGGGGGCGCCCGGGUGGCUCAGUCGGUUAAGCGGCCGACUUCGGCUCAGGUCAUGAUCUCCCAGCCCGUGGGUUCGA